GUCUACGGCCAUGCCACCCUGAACGUGCCCAAUCCCGUCUGAUCUCAGAAGCUGAGCAGGGCCGGGCCUGGUUAGUACUUGGGUGGGAGACCACCUAGGAAGACCAGGUGCUGCAGGCG
Molecule: ribosomal RNA, 119 nt
Filed under: Pteropus alecto (black flying fox)
Lineage: Eukaryota; Metazoa; Chordata; Mammalia; Chiroptera; Pteropodidae
Source: RNAcentral